AGAAGAUAUAAGAAUGAUAGUAAUAAGCUUUGGAAAGAGGUAAUGGAUCACAGGUAUAGGACUAGUAAUGUCAAUAUCAGUCUAAUACUGUAGGCACCUCUUCCAAAAUGGGGUAUAAAUGGAUCAUAGGUAAUUGGCUACUAGUAAAGUGAGAUUUGGGGAGGAUGAUUGGAUAGGAAACCCUAGCUUGGCUACUCAAUAUUGGAAAUUGUACAGAGUAUGAAUGAGAGAAAUAGAUCAGUUGCUAGUCUUUGGGAUGGUGUACAGAGUAAUAUUCAAUAUUGGAAACUGUACAGAGUAAUAUUGGAAACUCUAGCUUGGCUAUUCAAUAUUGCUAGAUUUGUGGGAUGAGGUCUGUCAAUUAGCUUCUACAAUUAGUUCUAGUGAUGAGGAAGACUCCCUAGUAUGGCAGUUCACUAGUAAUGGAAUUUACUCUGUACAGAAAUAGUGUGUCAAUACUAUUUAGCAUCCAAAAUGCAGCAGAAGUAUUCUUGGAGAAGUAUGGAUAUGCUUCUCUUCAGGGUAGCUGCGAUGGUUCAAAAAAUGGGAGAUAAUGUGCCAAGAGGAGAAGAAAGCUAUUCUACAAAUAAAGGUUGCUCAGAUCAAGGAAGCUGCUGCCCAAUUGCUGUCGUUGCCGAAAUAGAAGCCAAGACUUAUCAGGCGUGGAGUCACUCGGGAGGAAUGCUGGACACCAAGGUCAAGAUCCUGAUGAUCUGAUGAUGGUGCCUAAAAAAGAUGGAGGGAGUUCUAUUUUUCCUUUUGCUUUAGUCGUUUUUUAUUUUUAUUUUUUGACAAGUCCUUUUGCUUUAGUCGUUGUAGUCGUUCUUGCCAUCAGUUUUAGCUUUCUGAAAAGUCGUAUGGAGGUUCCGAGAUUGGCAAGUUUGAUGUAAGUGAACAGAUGGUUUCCCCAUCUGCUGCACUGUAAACUGAUAUGCUGUCUUUUGGCAAUGGUUAAAAGGUGAGGGCUUGGCCUUAGAAUUCUAAAACAAAACAUGGAUAAGUGGAAGUUGCUGACUUGAACUGUUCGCUAGGUGGAAGAGAGGAUAUGUGAGUAUGUGACAGUUAAAGGCAUAACCAGAGGCUCCCAUGGGUCAUGACUCAUGAGUUAAGG
Molecule: long non-coding RNA, 1111 nt
Filed under: Sorghum bicolor (sorghum)
Lineage: Eukaryota; Viridiplantae; Streptophyta; Magnoliopsida; Poales; Poaceae
Description: long non-coding RNA (SBIC_LNC015056)
Source: RNAcentral